RNAcentral lists this transfer RNA (83 nucleotides) under Nanobdellota archaeon. RNAcentral's name for it is "tRNA-Ser". It matches the Rfam family "tRNA". Rfam says of the family: Transfer RNA (tRNA) molecules are approximately 80 nucleotides in length. Their secondary structure includes four short double-helical elements and three loops (D, anti-codon, and T loops). The record is from RNAcentral. Lineage: Archaea; Nanobdellati; Nanobdellota.
GCUGAGGUGGCAGAGUGGUUAACGCGCAGGCUUGGAGAGCCUGUUCCUUUCGGGGAGCAUGGGUUCAAAUCCCAUCCUCAGCG